This 256-nucleotide ribosomal RNA is filed under the name uncultured bacterium. RNAcentral's name for it is "partial 16S ribosomal RNA". It matches the Rfam family "Bacterial small subunit ribosomal RNA", at positions 524 to 776 of the family's 1533-position model. The record is from RNAcentral.
UACAGAGGUCUCAAGCGUUGUUCGGAUUCAUUGGGCGUAAAGGGUGCGUAGGCGGCGCGGUAAGUCGGGUGUGAAAUCUCGGAGCUUAACUCCGAAACUGCAUUCGAUACUGCCCGUGCUUGAGGACUGGAGAGGAGACUGGAAUUUACGGUGUAGCGGUGAAAUGCGUAGAUAUCGUAAGGAAGACCAGUGGCGAAAGGCGGGGUCUCUGGACAGUUCCUGACGCUGAGGCACGAAGGUCAGGGGAGCAAACGGG